AGUAAACGGCGGCCGUAACUAUAACGGUCCUAAGGUAGCGAAAUUCCUUGUCGGGCAAGUUCCGACCCGCACGAAAGGCGUAACGAUUUGGGCGCUGUCUCAGCUGUAGACUCGGUGAAGUCUUAGUACCUGUGAAGAUGCAGGUUGCCCGCGACUAGACGGAAAGACCCCAUGGAGCUUCACUGCAGGUUGACAUUGGGCUUGGAUGCAUGAUGUACAGGAUAGGUGGGAGGCUGUGAGCCGUGCGCGCCAGCGUACGGGGAGCCGCUGUUGGGAUACCACCCUUCAUGCAUCUAGGUCCUAACCGGAGGCAACGGGCCACGGGACAGUGUCAGUCGGGCAGUUUGACUGGGGCGGUCGCCUCCCAAAGAGUAACGGAGGCGCCCAAAGAUACCCUCAGCAUGGAUGGAAACCAUGCAUAGAGUGCAAAGGCAUAAGGGUGUCUGACUGCGAGACAUACAGGUCGAGCAGGGACGAAAGUCGGGCUUAGUGAUCCGGCGGAUCCGAAUGGAAGGGCCGUCGCUCAACGGAUAAAAGCUACCCUGGGGAUAACAGGCUGAUCUCCCCCAAGAGUUCACAUCGACGGGGAGGUUUGGCACCUCGAUGUCGGCUCAUCGCAUCCUGGAGCUGAAGUCGGUUCCAAGGGUUGGGCUGUUCGCCCAUUAAAGCGGUACGCGAGCUGGGUUCAGAACGUCGUGAGACAGUUCGGUCCCUAUCUGUCGUGGGCGCAGGAGGUUUGAGGAGAGCUGCCCCUAGUACGAGAGGACCGGGGUGGACGGACCGAUGGUGCACCAGUUGUCACGCCAGUGGCACAGCUGGGCAGCCAAGUCCGGACGGGAUAAGCGCUGAAGGCAUCUAAGCGUGAAGCCCCCUCCAAGAUGAGACCUCCCAUUGGCGACAAGUAAGGCCCCUCGAAGACGACGAGGUUGAUAGGCCGCGAGUGCAAGCGCAGCGAUGUGCUUAGCGGGGCGGUACUAAUAGGCCGAGGACUUGGCCAA
RNAcentral lists this ribosomal RNA (998 nucleotides) under human gut metagenome. Its description in RNAcentral is "bacterial LSU rRNA". It matches the Rfam family "Bacterial large subunit ribosomal RNA", at positions 1922 to 2925 of the family's 2925-position model. The record is from RNAcentral.